CGGGAUGUGGCGCAGCCUGGUAGCGCACCUGCUUUGGGAGCAGGGGGUCGGGAGUUCGAAUCUCCCCAUCCCGACCA
RNAcentral lists this transfer RNA (77 nucleotides) under Ilumatobacter sp. RNAcentral describes it as "tRNA-Pro". It matches the Rfam family "tRNA". From Rfam's summary of the family: Transfer RNA (tRNA) molecules are approximately 80 nucleotides in length. Their secondary structure includes four short double-helical elements and three loops (D, anti-codon, and T loops). RNAcentral also lists the same sequence under 1 other name. Lineage: Bacteria; Bacillati; Actinomycetota; Acidimicrobiia; Acidimicrobiales; Ilumatobacteraceae. The record is from RNAcentral.